UCAGAAGGGCUUACUAGAUAAGGCCACUGA
RNAcentral lists this non-coding RNA (30 nucleotides) under Rattus norvegicus (Norway rat). The record is from RNAcentral. Lineage: Eukaryota; Metazoa; Chordata; Mammalia; Rodentia; Muridae.